This is a long non-coding RNA of Lycium barbarum (goji berry), 770 nucleotides long. RefSeq lists it as uncharacterized. The transcript has 3 exons. The record is from RefSeq and is a predicted model, not a curated record. Lineage: Eukaryota; Viridiplantae; Streptophyta; Magnoliopsida; Solanales; Solanaceae.
GUGCAUAAUGGUGUAGAAAGGUGAUGAGUAAUUUAAAAGGGAGUGGAAAUAGAAUGACAAGUGUAAAGGAGGGGACAUGCAUUUAAUGCAUCCUUUAUCAUGUUGAAUGGAUUAUUUAUUUAUACAUAUUAUAUCAUUUUGGAAUUGAAGUUUAGGGAUAUAUAUAUAUACACACCAUUACACGUGCUGCUACAGAGUAUUGUUGUACUUCUCUUAUCUCACUCUUGGAGAAUUGAUUUUAUGGAAACUUUGCACUGCACAUAACUGAAAGGAGAAGCAACGUGCAGUUAAUUUCUCUUGGCAGCAAUAUUUAUUUCCAAACCAAACAGCAACGUGUAACUAUUCUCAAGAACAAUAAGGCGGGUUUUGCUCUCCGCUCCGAUCUUGUUGUCCUGUUUUAUCGUGUUGUUGAAAUUGGGCUUUCUUCGAAGGGAAGUAAAGUGGAAGAAGAUUAUUUCUUGGUAUAUAUGAUUUUGAAGGAAAUGAGAAUUGAAUUUGGACUAGCGUAAAGGGCGAAAAAGGUCAGCAGACAGACGAGUUUAAUCCCUAGGAGCUUCACCAGCUGUUCCUUGAGAGUGCUCCAGUUGAUCCGGAGCUUCAGCCUAUUGGUACUACUUUUGUGUAUAUAAUCGGGCACGACAGAACCCGGCCCUUCCUAUGUAUAUAUGCACUUUGUAUAGAGGCUCGUAGACAGAUAUGUACAGUCAGAUGUUUUGUACUUUUGUUGUCCUCGUCGUUGUAUAACGUGCUAGCAAAGUUUAUAAGUUCAU